RNAcentral lists this ribosomal RNA (492 nucleotides) under uncultured bacterium. RNAcentral describes it as "partial 16S ribosomal RNA". It matches the Rfam family "Bacterial small subunit ribosomal RNA", at positions 29 to 507 of the family's 1533-position model. The record is from RNAcentral.
AGUGAACGCUGGCGGUAGGCCUAACACAUGCAAGUCGAACGGCAGCACAGUAAGAGCUUGCUCUUACGGGAGGCGAGUGGCGGACGGGUGCGGAAUACAUCGGAAUCUACUUUUUCGUGGGGGAUAACGUAGGGAAACUUACGCUAAUACCGCAUACGACCUACGGGUGAAAGAAGGGGAUCUUCGGACCUUGCGCGAUCGAAUGAGCCGAUGUCGGAUUAGCUAGUUGGCGGGGUAAAGGCCCACCAAGGCGACGAUCCGUAGCUGGUCUGAGAGGAUGAUCAGCCACACUGGAACUGAGACACGGUCCAGACUCCUACGGGAGGCAGCAGUGGGGAAUAUUGGACAAUGGGCGCAAGCCUGAUCCAGCCAUGCCGCGUGGGUGAAGAAGGCCUUCGGGUUGUAAAGCCCUUUUGUUGGGAAAGAAAAGCAGCAGGUUAAUACCCCGCUGUUCUGACGGUACCCAAAGAAUAAGCACCGGCUAACUUCGUG